GAUGAACGCUGGCGGCGUGCCUAAUACAUGCAAGUCGAGCGAACAGACGAGGAGCUUGCUCCUCUGACGUUAGCGGCGGACGGGUGAGUAACACGUGGAUAACCUACCUAUAAGACUGGGAUAACUUCGGGAAACCGGAGCUAAUACCGGAUAAUAUAUUGAACCGCAUGGUUCAAUAGUGAGAGACGGUUUUGCUGUCACUUAUAGAUGGAUCCGCGCCGCAUUAGCUAGUUGGUAAGGUAACGGCUUACCAAGGCAACGAUGCGUAGCCGACCUGAGAGGGUGAUCGGCCACACUGGAACUGAGACACGGUCCAGACUCCUACGGGAGGCAGCAGUAGGGAAUCUUCCGCAAUGGGCGAAAGCCUGACGGAGCAACGCCGCGUGAGUGAUGAAGGUCUUCGGAUCGUAAAACUCUGUUAUUAGGGAAGAACAAAUGUGUAAGUAACUAUGCACGUCUUGACGGUACCUAAUCAGAAAGCCACGGCUAACUACGUG
This 497-nucleotide ribosomal RNA is filed under the name uncultured bacterium. RNAcentral describes it as "partial 16S ribosomal RNA". It matches the Rfam family "Bacterial small subunit ribosomal RNA", at positions 28 to 507 of the family's 1533-position model. The record is from RNAcentral.